AAUAAUUGUCAUUCAUGUGCAAGCAAACAAGGGCAACUGCAGUUUUUGGAUUUUGUGUCAAAUUACCUCUUGCUGCAUAUAUUCUGUAUGGAGUCUCCUAUACAGGGUUUGGCGUAUUUAACUUCUGAUGGGCAUGUUUGUCUGUCUACAGGGCCCACCCAGCAACCUGCAGCUGCUGUGGACAACACCACAUGCUUUUCCCACCACACAUCACCACGCAGAGUCAGUGGAAGGUUAAAGCAGUAGUAAGGUGUGUGGCAUAAAACUGCAUUCUAAGUUCCACAUCACAGUCAUUGCAGUUCUUGAUGGUCUGACAAAGGUGCUACUGUAUGCCCCUGCCUGAUCUUUGCUGCAUACAGGCUCACAAGCUGCUUGUGGAGGACUGCUGCUGCAGCAAUGUCUUGUAGUGUUAACUAACGGCGAUAGAGGACUAAUACUAGGCAUGACUACCAGAAGGUGUUAGGGUGGAUAGUGCAUGUGACCUAUGAUGUAGCAUGUUUUGAGGCAAAUUUUGUUGAGAUGGAUGAGCUGCAGCUGGGUGCACCCAAUAUGAAACUGUUUGGAGCUGUUUCAAAGCUUCUGCUGCAGCAGCUGCUGCAUACAGGCUCACAAGCCACUUGUGGAGAAGCUACUGCUAGCAGCAGCGCUGCUGCACUGUACAGUCACUGUACAGACUUGUCUUGGAGUGUUAACUGACGGUGAUGGAGGACUACUUCUAGGCAUGAAUACCAGAAAGUGUUAGGGUGGAUAGAAUGCUUCUGAGCUAUAAUGUAGCAUGUUUUGAGGCAAAUUGUUGACAGAUCGAUGAGCUGCAGCUGCAGCAGCCGCUGUUGUGGAAAUGUUUGGUGCUGUUUGGAAGCUGCAGAUUGUUUGGAAGCUGCAGCUGCUUCAGCUGAAGCAGGCAAUGCAUAUGGCUUAAUGUUGUUACAUAGCAGGACUUCGGAAUUUCGUAUGCAUGUAGCUGCUGCUAGGCGAUGUGUAUAUGUAAAAUUAUGAAUCCACG
Molecule: long non-coding RNA, 1003 nt
Filed under: Volvox carteri
Lineage: Eukaryota; Viridiplantae; Chlorophyta; Chlorophyceae; Chlamydomonadales; Volvocaceae
Description: long non-coding RNA (VCAR_LNC004164)
Source: RNAcentral